UGAGGAAUAUUGGUCAAUGGACGCAAGUCUGAACCAGCCAUGCCGCGUGCAGGAUGAAGCCUCUAUGGUGUGUAAACUGCUUUUGUACGGGAAGAAACACUCCUACGUGUAGGAACUUGACGGUACCGUACGAAUAAGGAUCGGCUAACUCCGUG
This 155-nucleotide ribosomal RNA is filed under the name uncultured bacterium. Its description in RNAcentral is "partial 16S ribosomal RNA". It matches the Rfam family "Bacterial small subunit ribosomal RNA", at positions 355 to 507 of the family's 1533-position model. The record is from RNAcentral.